Molecule: long non-coding RNA, 1931 nt
Organism: Daucus carota subsp. sativus
Lineage: Eukaryota; Viridiplantae; Streptophyta; Magnoliopsida; Apiales; Apiaceae
Exons: 2
Source: RefSeq, a predicted model, not a curated record
GUGAAUUAUAAUCAAAUAAGUUAUUCCCUUUUGGACUAAGAAUUGUCACAAACUAAAACUAGUGACCUUUUCCAUUGAUGCCAAAUACUAUAAUUAAAAAACCUUGUAGCAUGCUCAAUUAUAAAUGCUUUUUUGUGUAGUACAUGGUAAGUAUCCUUUUUUCCAAGUGUUGCAGAAGACAAAAGCUUCCCCACUCUCUAUUGUCCUGCAUAAUUUGGCAAUGUGUGAUCCACAUUUUUCAGAUUGUGAAAGCUUCGAGUCCCACCAUUAUCAAACUUUCUCUAGUGGCCUUUUCUUGGUUAUAAUGAAAUUGAAUUGACUGAACAAUCUUUAUCCAUUGAACAACUAGCUAUUCGUCUGCUGUCAUCUACUAGCUAAUAACUCUAUCGUUAGAAGAUUUUUACAAAUUAUUUCCUCAAUAACCUUUUCUUGCAUUGUGUGUGCUCAGAAGAGACGCGAGGGUUUUGUUGGGGGGGCUUGCUUUCUCUAGUGUUUAUAACCAAUGCUACUUGUUGUAGUAGGAAUUGUAGUUGAUGGGAUAGUUCUCAGUUGAGCUUUUCAGCAUUGUGUUGUGGGUUUUAAAUUUUAAUCCCGGAAGGCACUUAUCUGUCAAUAUAUUAUAUAACUUUCUAUGUUUUUUCUCUAGCUUCCAUAGUUCACUAAAAAAAAACCAAACUGUUUGUAACUUUGGGAACUCGUAUUGUGUUGAAUUUGAAGUCUGGUUUGCUUGUGUGUUCCAUCAAGUUAAUCUACUCUGUGAACCCGCACAUGGCAUGGGGCACCAAGAACACCAAACUUCACUGUUUCUCCUAGAUUGAUAAGUCUUUAUAAACUGUUGCUCAAACUUUGAAGCAAGGUGUUUCUAUAUUUGUAACGGGCAUGCAACAUCAAUACUUUUGUUUGAACAAUUAAUGUACUUAAAUUGUCAUAAAAAUUUACUGCUCCUUGAUGAACUGAACAUUCUUUACUGGCACAGUCAAAAAUACAUGAUGUGAAAAAGUUAAACCUGAAGAUAUAGCUACUGAUACAGAGUAUAGAAAGCAAUAAUAGUGAAAGUAUAUCACUGUAUAUGCACGAAUAUAUGUAUGCAUAUGAUGAAUGCAAUGUGAAAAGACAAUUAUUAAGGAUUUCUCAUAAUGUCUUCAUUGAUUAUUUGCUCCACAGGUGGUGGUCCGACGUACACCUGCUGGUUGCUGCCCCCUUUAGUUUGUUGCAGAUAAUUGACUUCCCGCUCCUGAAAUCCAAAUACAUCAUUAUGGGAAAAUUGAAGGUUAUAAGCUCGAUCCAAGGACAUCGUAUAUCUUUGAUCUUUAGUCAAGAUUGUAAGUGUGGCAGUAUCUUUAAAAUUAGAAAGAGGGUAUAGAUGUGCCCUCCUUGGAGAACAUCUUGUCGUAGCCCUCUUUGUACACUACUGAGAAAUGGGCAUCAAGAAGUUGGUACACACGUAAUGUGUAUCACUGAAAUUCUAGAAAACAAUAAUUAGCUAGCUUCAUCAUAACACAGAUGUGCCGACUAAUGGCACCUGUGAAAAGAACGGAGAGCCUGGUUAAGAGGGUGAAGAGUAGAACCUGCAGACUAUGCAGGUUCUGCGAGGAACAGGUGAAACCAGAUGUACUGGUCUUAGAAUUUCUCAGGACGUCGGAUCAGGGUAGUUGAUUCUUGUUAGGUCUGUGAGUCGUCAAAUGAUCUAACAGUUGAUAAUACAGAUGUCCCGGAACUUAUCAAUAACCAUAUGCGAAGAUUAGCAUGAGAAGGUUCACGAAAAGGACAACUAAGAAAUUAGUCCAACUCUUGAACAUCUCCAAAUAGAAAACUUGUUCAUUUUUCAGAGUGCAUCGUGCAUGUGUUUCCCCUUUUUGUAUUCGAUUGGGAUUUUAAUACAUUGUUUUUAGUUUAUGGAUUUUAAUGGAUUGUAUGAUAUUUUGAUUUUA